UUGGAUUUUACUCUUGUUUCAGCAGCAUUUAAGUCAUGUAUGACACCACAUGCAUUUCAAAUAUUUAGGAUUCUAUUUAUAUGCCUGGCUUUUGAAAUUGGGUGUGCCAUUAUAUUUUGCCUAAUGCCCUCUUGUCUUGGUACUUAGACCCAUAUUCAACAUUUGGUUCAGAAUGGGUUUCAUUCCUGGGUAUCUUCCACUGUUUCAUAUGCAGAUUCUAAGUGUUUAUUAUCUAGGAUAAAUAUAAAAAAAACUGUAAUAGCAUCUCAAAAAUACUAUUUAAGUUGUUGAUAGGUGAAAAUAAGUAUAGUAGUCUCAUAUGAAAAUAAAAUAGUUACAUUUAUUGUCUACAGUAUAAAAAAUAUAUGUUGGUUGCCACAUUUGAAAAAGAAAGCAGUUAUACUUGUUGAUUUUGUAGAAUAAAGGAAAGGACUGGUGUCACUUAUGACUAACACAAGUUAAAUAAUUUGAGGACAUUGGUCACAUGGCAUGAAAUAGGUUGCAGAUUUUUUGUCUAUGAUAAAUGUGAAGACUUUUCUAUGCAUUUGGAUAAGUAUAAAUAAAUGAAUGAUUAAUGGUAAUGGCAUUUGCUAAUUAAUUAACCCUUUCACUGUGGCUGAAAUUUAUAUUUCCCAGUGGUCUGGGAAAUAUAUGGCCCAGCCACAGUGAAAGGGUUAAACAACAGCCCUAUUAUUUGAUUAGCAGUGUUCCUCAAACAAUGGAAUGUACAGGAAGAUAAAAAAAGCUAGCAGCAGGUCUUAUCAGCUAGAUUCCUUCCUUCUAGUCAGCAGUCCAACAAGAAAAAAAAUGUUGGUGAUGGGUGCUGCUAGCCAAGUGCCUUCCCUCUAGUUACAUACUCAGGAUUAAUACGGUUUCCACUGUGGCUCAAAAGAAUUAAGCAUUUUGGUGACAGCUAACAAAAACCUUUUUUUUUUAGUCAAAAAUUACACAAGCUUGAAGACUGUAGUCACACCUGAUAUAAAAUAUUUUGUAAUCAGUGUCCAUAAAUUCUAGGACAGAAAUUGCAGAUGUGUUUUCAUUUGUUCAUCAUAUUUAAAGUUGAGUAUGUUCAGGACUUAAAAAGAAUAGUUUUAUGUGCAUUUUUGCAGAGUCAGUGAGGUUUGAUGAAAUUACAUUAUUACUUAUUACAUUCAAAUAAUGCAAAAGUCAUUUGAGAAAUAUAGUUGUAGUUGUUUAGUGUCUUGACAAAAAAACUGAGAACUGAAGCCAUAUUUUAUAAAAUAAAGUUGUAUUUUUCCAAUAUUCAUAAUUGUAAAUUAUGAGAAUUGCAUAAAGAAAUGUCAAACAGGUUUAUAUGACAUUGAUCCAGUAAUUAUAAAUGUUAAACCCAAUUAGUUACAACUAUCUUGACUAUAAAAUACAUUUAAUGUUUUAGAAGUUUAAAGAAACAAAAAAGUAUAUUUAGUCACUAACUUUUAGACUGAUGGACAGUCUUUUUUUCAGGGGUUAGAAGGUAUAAAAAAUGCAUAAACAUAUAUACAACUGACCGGCAUUUGAAGUAAACAGCAAUAAGAGUAUUGUACAAGUAUGCUAUUAAGUAAAGAAAUACUGUCAAGAAACACCAAGUGUGUAAUUUUUACAUUCUGUGAAUGUUAUAUAUUGCCAUAAAAGUGAAAGUAUACAAAAAUUAGCCACUUGAACAGAGUAAGUAAACAGAUAGAUGCACUUGUAUAUUACAUAUAUAUAUAUAUAAUAUGUACGAGUUAAAUGUAUGUUGACUAUAGCAUUUUAUGACCUUAAUGCUCAUUAAUUUUUCAGUGUAAGUAAACAGAAUCAUAUUGAUAAAUUAUACUCACUACAUCAAAGAUAAGAAGCCAAAUUGCUUAAUGAUUAGGUGCAUAUAUCCUGUUAAAUAAACAGUUUUGAGUCUCCCAUUACUCCAAACAAGUCUUGAAUUAUUACAACCAUGUUUAAAAGAAAAUUCUCUUGAAAAAGAAAAUAAUUAUAUAACGUUAUGACACAGUAAUGUUUUUCAUUUAAGACUGUAAUAAGUUGUUUAUUCAAAGCCAAGUGUGAACAAGGAUUUUGGUAAUUUGUUAUGGAAUCUACAAAAGAAAAAAUUGUACACUCUAAGAACUCAUGAGUGAAAGCAAAGGUUAUAUGUACAGCAAACACGAGAAACAUGCAUUUUCACGAUUUGUGAAAAUCAUACUUCUGUCUUUUUUUUCUAUUUUCACACGUUUUUUGGAUCUUCACAUUGUUUAGAAAAACAUGUUUAUUGAACUAAUAAAACGAUACCCUCCCUCUUCUUUUUUUAAUUUGAUGAUAAUAAUAAUUUGUGCACUAACGUUAGAGCAAUUGGGAGAGUGUUCAUGCACAUUUAUGAAUAUUUUCACAUUGUUUUGUUUGUAAAAUAUCUUUUAUAGCAAUUGAGACUGUGUGCAUGUAUGUUUAAAUAUACCCUCAUUCCAUGUUUUGGCUCUAUACAGUAGUAUCUGUUAUGGGAAUGUGUUCAAGUAGAUUUAAAAACAUACAAACAGUUUUAUUUUAUAACACUUUUUAGGGCUGUGUGGACAUAUGUUUAAAAUACCCCUUUCUGAAAAAUGUAAACAUGAGUUACAGUAUCUUUUCAAAGAUACUAUAAUUAAAAAUUCAUAUUUUAUAGGUUUUCUUGUAUAAAAUGAUGUUCACACAAGGUUUAUUCUAAAGAAAAUUUCCAACUACACAAGGCAGGGGUCAGGGACAUUCUGACAUGCAUUCUAGGUAAUUUUUUACUGUUAUAACUUUAGAAAAUACCAGGCCUAAAGGAUUUACAAUUUCAUAUUAUUAUGAUAUGCUGUAUCCAAGCACAAUUUUUCUAAGUAUAGUUAUACUUAUUGUCCACACAACUUAAAAUUUUCAUCUGUAUGUAAUAUGUUAAGAACUUAAUAUUUUCAACUUUAUAAUUUAUGUAAAUUGUGCUUAUGUCAUGACGUCAGUGUUUCUUGUUCUCUUUGAGUAUACAGUACACACAAUUCAUGGUGCAACGAGUUCGUCCAUUGAUGAUUGUGAGUUAUAAGAAGUUAGAACUUCGAUCUGACAAGCACUACAAGAUGUAAAUGAAGAGUCCAGGAAAUAAGAAAGUUCCCUGGAACACUGGCUUGAAGCAUCCAACAACACACCAACAGUACUACCUAGGCAUGCCAACCAAACAUUUUCAGUCUCACUUCCCAGUAGACCUGAUGAUGAAAUUUAUGUAUUUUAGAAUGCUGACACAGGAAGAGAUAGAAAUGCCUCUGCAAAACAGCAGAACUAUUAACACUCUUAUAUGAUCCUGCUAAUAUUGACAAUAAUCAGGAGAAAGUAAUAGAAAAUUGCAUGAUCAUCGGAGAUGCUGAGAGAACUAUUGCUAUGCCAUUGAAUUCAUCCAUGUCUGAAGAGAACAUGAAAACUGAUUCCAAUCCAAGUCUAUCAAGCAAUAUACACAUACUCUUAAAAAGAUGUUUUUGAACAUUUUCACAUGUAAGGCAUAGUGCAUUUUAAAAGUUUACGGAACCCGUCAAACUGUAUUCAAAUAAAAUUUAAUUGCCUCUGAUUGCAUAAAAUUGUGGAACUAUAUAUCAGAAUGAAACAACUGAGAAUCAUUUGCAGGAAUCCUACCACACAGAAAGU
Molecule: long non-coding RNA, 3612 nt
Organism: Limulus polyphemus (Atlantic horseshoe crab)
Lineage: Eukaryota; Metazoa; Arthropoda; Merostomata; Xiphosura; Limulidae
Exons: 2
Source: RefSeq, a predicted model, not a curated record